This 57-nucleotide small RNA is filed under the name Leishmania major strain Friedlin. RNAcentral's name for it is "Leishmania major h/ACA-like snoRNA". Lineage: Eukaryota; Euglenozoa; Kinetoplastea; Trypanosomatida; Trypanosomatidae. The record is from RNAcentral.
UGCAGCUGCGCCAAAGGGGUCUUUGUCAAAUUCCUUGCAGCGGCUGGUGCGAGAUGG